This 455-nucleotide ribosomal RNA is filed under the name uncultured bacterium. RNAcentral's name for it is "bacterial SSU rRNA". It matches the Rfam family "Bacterial small subunit ribosomal RNA", at positions 338 to 795 of the family's 1533-position model. The record is from RNAcentral.
CCUANGGGAGGCAGCAGUUAGGAAUAUUGGGCAAUGGGCGCAAGCCUGACCCAGCGACACCGCGUGGGGGACGAAGGCCCUCGGGUCGUAAACCCCUGUCAGGAGGGACGAAGUCCGCCGCAAGGCGGGUGACGGUACCUCCAGAGGAAGCCCCGGCUAACUACGUGCCAGCAGCCGCGGUAAGACGUAGGGGGCAAGCGUUGUCCGGAUUUACUGGGCGUAAAGCGCGUGUAGGCGGUCCGCUAAGUCCCGUGUUAAAGCCUCCGGCUCAACCGGAGAACGCCGCGGGAGACUGGCGGGCGUGAGGGCGGUAGAGGGUGAUGGAAUUCCCGGUGUAGCGGUGAAAUGCGUAGAUAUCGGGAGGAACGCCAGUGGCGAAGGCGGUCACCUGGGCCGUCCCUGACGCUGAGACGCGAAAGCUGGGGGAGCAAACGGGAUUAGAUACCCUANUANUC